AAGCCAGACUCCUACGGGAGGCAGCAGUGGGGGAUAUUGCACAAUGGGGGGAACCCUGAUGCAGCGACGCCGCGUGGGUGAAGAAGCGCCUCGGCGCGUAAAGCCCUGUCAGCAGGGAAGAAAAUGACGGUACCUGAAGAAGAAGCCCCGGCUAACUACGUGCCAGCAGCCGCGGGAAUACGUAGGGGGCAAGCGUUAUCCGGAUUUACUGGGUGUAAAGGGGGCGCAGACGGCGAUGCAAGCCAGGAGUGAAAGCCCGGGGCCCAACCCCGGGACUGCUCUUGGAACUGCGUGGCUGGAGUGCAGGAGGGGCAGGCGGAAUUCCUGGUGUAGCGGUGAAAUGCGUAGAUAUCAGGAGGAACACCGGUGGCGAAGGCGGCCUGCUGGACUGCAACUGACGUUGAGGCCCGAAAGCGUGGGGAGCAAACAGGAUUAGAUACCCCUGUAC
Molecule: ribosomal RNA, 448 nt
Filed under: uncultured bacterium
Lineage: Bacteria
Description: partial 16S ribosomal RNA
Rfam family: Bacterial small subunit ribosomal RNA
Source: RNAcentral